Long non-coding RNA from Heterocephalus glaber (naked mole-rat), 390 nucleotides. NCBI's taxonomy places the organism in Eukaryota, Metazoa, Chordata, Mammalia, Rodentia, Bathyergidae. The record is from Ensembl.
GGGAUCUCAACCGUCACCGACGCAGCGGAUCAGAAUUGAGAGCCCCGAAUUUCAAAUUAGCCGGGUUUUUAUAGAGGUUACAGCAAGGUAUGAUUUACUGAGCAUCCAGCUGCACCUGCCUCCCCUGGCAGCAGCCUGAGCUGCUCCCUCUCUGAGAGGUUGUGCUGGGGUAGUGAUCCUUCCUCUGAAAAGUUCUUCUUCAUGGCACCAAGACUGCUGAGAAAUGCUCCAAAUUUACCUCUGAUCUCAGAGGUUAGAAGGGUAGAAGAAGAGAGUUCCUGAAUAGAGCCACAUGAUUAUCACUGGAGCCAAUGGUUAAGCUCUGGUGUGAUGCCAUCUAGAACUGAAAGGAUAGAAUGCAUCUCCCUCCAUCUCUUGGCUCUGAUUUAC